AGGUGGCUUCCUGUUUGAAGGGCUCUCCGAUGAGGAGGAUGACUUUCACCCAAGUGCCAGGUCCACGCCCUCGAGCAGCACGUCCAGCUCCCGCCCAGCUUCCCUGGGGUACAGUGGAGCCGCCGGACCCCGGCCCAUCACUCAGAGCGAGCUGGCCACGGCCCUGGCCCUGGCCAGCACUCCGGAGAGCAGCUCUCACACGCCAACUCCUGGCACCCAGGGCCAUUCCUCUGGGACCUCCCCAAUGUCCUCAGGCGUCCAGUCAGGGACGCCCAUCACCAACGAUCUGUUCAGCCAAGCCCUACAGCAUGCGCUGCAGGCCUCCGGGCAGCCCAGCCUUCAGAAUCAGAUGGAACUUGAAUCUUUGGAAAAGAACAGAGAGCAUUGGAAAUGCUUCAUCUUCAAGACUCUCGUCCAGAUGCCUCAUCUGCAAAACCCACCAGCUUAACUAA
This 452-nucleotide long non-coding RNA is filed under the name Sus scrofa (pig). Its description in RNAcentral is "lncRNA (ENSSSCG00015057732.1)". Lineage: Eukaryota; Metazoa; Chordata; Mammalia; Artiodactyla; Suidae. The record is from RNAcentral.